RNAcentral lists this ribosomal RNA (483 nucleotides) under uncultured bacterium. RNAcentral describes it as "bacterial SSU rRNA". It matches the Rfam family "Bacterial small subunit ribosomal RNA", at positions 328 to 803 of the family's 1533-position model. The record is from RNAcentral.
GAAUUCAACUCCUACGGGAGGCAGCAGUAGGGAAUCUUCCGCAAUGGACGCAAGUCUGACGGAGCAACGCCGCGUGAGUGAAGAAGGAUUUCGGUUCGUAAAACUCUGUUGUUAGAGAAGAACAGCGCAUAGAGUAACUGUUAUGCGUGUGACGGUAUCUAACCAGAAAGCCACGGCUAACUACGUGCCAGCAGCCGCGGUAAUACGUAGGUGGCAAGCGUUGUCCGGAUUUAUUGGGCGUAAAGCGAGCGCAGGCGGUCAAUUAAGUCUGAUGUGAAAGCCCCCGGCUCAACCGGGGAGGGUCAUUGGAAACUGGUUGACUUGAGUGCAGAAGAGGAGAGUGGAAUUCCAUGUGUAGCGGUGAAAUGCGUAGAUAUAUGGAGGAACACCAGUGGCGAAGGCGACUCUCUGGUCUGUAACUGACGCUGAGGCUCGAAAGCGUGGGUAGCAAACAGGAUUAGAAACCCUAGUAGUCCAGGCGUU